Molecule: ribosomal RNA, 2861 nt
Filed under: Staphylococcus aureus
Lineage: Bacteria; Bacillati; Bacillota; Bacilli; Caryophanales; Staphylococcaceae
Description: partial 23S ribosomal RNA
Rfam family: Bacterial large subunit ribosomal RNA
Source: RNAcentral
UAACGACGAUAUGCUUUGGGGAGCUGUAAGUAAGCUUUGAUCCAGAGAUUUCCGAAUGGGGAAACCCAGCAUGAGUUAUGUCAUGUUAUCGAUAUGUGAAUACAUAGCAUAUCAGAAGGCACACCCGGAGAACUGAAACAUCUUAGUACCCGGAGGAAGAGAAAGAAAAUUCGAUUCCCUUAGUAGCGGCGAGCGAAACGGGAAGAGCCCAAACCAACAAGCUUGCUUGUUGGGGUUGUAGGACACUCUAUACGGAGUUACAAAGGACGACAUUAGACGAAUCAUCUGGAAAGAUGAAUCAAAGAAGGUAAUAAUCCUGUAGUCGAAAAUGUUGUCUCUCUUGAGUGGAUCCUGAGUACGACGGAGCACGUGAAAUUCCGUCGGAAUCUGGGAGGACCAUCUCCUAAGGCUAAAUACUCUCUAGUGACCGAUAGUGAACCAGUACCGUGAGGGAAAGGUGAAAAGCACCCCGGAAGGGGAGUGAAAUAGAACCUGAAACCGUGUGCUUACAAGUAGUCAGAGCCCGUUAAUGGGUGAUGGCGUGCCUUUUGUAGAAUGAACCGGCGAGUUACGAUUUGAUGCAAGGUUAAGCAGUAAAUGUGGAGCCGUAGCGAAAGCGAGUCUGAAUAGGGCGUUUAGUAUUUGGUCGUAGACCCGAAACCAGGUGAUCUACCCUUGGUCAGGUUGAAGUUCAGGUAACACUGAAUGGAGGACCGAACCGACUUACGUUGAAAAGUGAGCGGAUGAACUGAGGGUAGCGGAGAAAUUCCAAUCGAACCUGGAGAUAGCUGGUUCUCUCCGAAAUAGCUUUAGGGCUAGCCUCAAGUGAUGAUUAUUGGAGGUAGAGCACUGUUUGGACGAGGGGCCCCUCUCGGGUUACCGAAUUCAGACAAACUCCGAAUGCCAAUUAAUUUAACUUGGGAGUCAGAACAUGGGUGAUAAGGUCCGUGUUCGAAAGGGAAACAGCCCAGACCACCAGCUAAGGUCCCAAAAUAUAUGUUAAGUGGAAAAGGAUGUGGCGUUGCCCAGACAACUAGGAUGUUGGCUUAGAAGCAGCCAUCAUUUAAAGAGUGCGUAAUAGCUCACUAGUCGAGUGACACUGCGCCGAAAAUGUACCGGGGCUAAACAUAUUACCGAAGCUGUGGAUUGUCCUUUGGACAAUGGUAGGAGAGCGUUCUAAGGGCGUUGAAGCAUGAUCGUAAGGACAUGUGGAGCGCUUAGAAGUGAGAAUGCCGGUGUGAGUAGCGAAAGACGGGUGAGAAUCCCGUCCACCGAUUGACUAAGGUUUCCAGAGGAAGGCUCGUCCGCUCUGGGUUAGUCGGGUCCUAAGCUGAGGCCGACAGGCGUAGGCGAUGGAUAACAGGUUGAUAUUCCUGUACCACCUAUAAUCGUUUUAAUCGAUGGGGGGACGCAGUAGGAUAGGCGAAGCGUGCGAUUGGAUUGCACGUCUAAGCAGUAAGGCUGAGUAUUAGGCAAAUCCGGUACUCGUUAAGGCUGAGCUGUGAUGGGGAGAAGACAUUGUGUCUUCGAGUCGUUGAUUUCACACUGCCGAGAAAAGCCUCUAGAUAGAAAAUAGGUGCCCGUACCGCAAACCGACACAGGUAGUCAAGAUGAGAAUUCUAAGGUGAGCGAGCGAACUCUCGUUAAGGAACUCGGCAAAAUGACCCCGUAACUUCGGGAGAAGGGGUGCUCUUUAGGGUUAACGCCCAGAAGAGCCGCAGUGAAUAGGCCCAAGCGACUGUUUAUCAAAAACACAGGUCUCUGCUAAACCGUAAGGUGAUGUAUAGGGGCUGACGCCUGCCCGGUGCUGGAAGGUUAAGAGGAGUGGUUAGCUUCUGCGAAGCUACGAAUCGAAGCCCCAGUAAACGGCGGCCGUAACUAUAACGGUCCUAAGGUAGCGAAAUUCCUUGUCGGGUAAGUUCCGACCCGCACGAAAGGCGUAACGAUUUGGGCACUGUCUCAACGAGAGACUCGGUGAAAUCAUAGUACCUGUGAAGAUGCAGGUUACCCGCGACAGGACGGGAAGACCCCGUGGAGCUUUACUGUAGCCUGAUAUUGAAAUUCGGCACAGCUUGUACAGGAUAGGUAGGAGCCUUUGAAACGUGAGCGCUAGCUUACGUGGAGGCGCUGGUGGGAUACUACCCUAGCUGUGUUGGCUUUCUAACCCGCACCACUUAUCGUGGUGGGAGACAGUGUCAGGCGGGCAGUUUGACUGGGGCGGUCGCCUCCUAAAAGGUAACGGAGGCGCUCAAAGGUUCCCUCAGAAUGGUUGGAAAUCAUUCAUAGAGUGUAAAGGCAUAAGGGAGCUUGACUGCGAGACCUACAAGUCGAGCAGGGUCGAAAGACGGACUUAGUGAUCCGGUGGUUCCGCAUGGAAGGGCCAUCGCUCAACGGAUAAAAGCUACCCCGGGGAUAACAGGCUUAUCUCCCCCAAGAGUUCACAUCGACGGGGAGGUUUGGCACCUCGAUGUCGGCUCAUCGCAUCCUGGGGCUGUAGUCGGUCCCAAGGGUUGGGCUGUUCGCCCAUUAAAGCGGUACGCGAGCUGGGUUCAGAACGUCGUGAGACAGUUCGGUCCCUAUCCGUCGUGGGCGUAGGAAAUUUGAGAGGAGCUGUCCUUAGUACGAGAGGACCGGGAUGGACAUACCUCUGGUGUACCAGUUGUCGUGCCAACGGCAUAGCUGGGUAGCUAUGUGUGGACGGGAUAAGUGCUGAAAGCAUCUAAGCAUGAAGCCCCCCUCAAGAUGAGAUUUCCCAACUUCGGUUAUAAGAUCCCUCAAAGAUGAUGAGGUUAAUAGGUUCGAGGUGGAAGCAUGGUGACAUGUGGAGCUGACGAAUACUAAUCGAUCGAAGACUUAAUCAA